CCCUUUCAAAAAGCACUUGCUUUGUCUGGUCAGUAGCUGGGUGAGUUGUCGAAGAAGGGUAUAGUAAUCAUCACUGGUGGGUGAGAUGGCAGUCACCUAUACUGAACAGUCUCAAUCCGUGAUGGAACAACU
Hucho hucho (huchen) is the source of this 132-nucleotide small nucleolar RNA. Lineage: Eukaryota; Metazoa; Chordata; Actinopteri; Salmoniformes; Salmonidae. The record is from Ensembl.